RNAcentral lists this ribosomal RNA (1211 nucleotides) under uncultured Campylobacterota bacterium. RNAcentral describes it as "bacterial SSU rRNA". It matches the Rfam family "Bacterial small subunit ribosomal RNA", at positions 259 to 1500 of the family's 1533-position model. Lineage: Bacteria; Pseudomonadati; Campylobacterota. The record is from RNAcentral.
AAAAGCCCCCCUAGUUGUGUGGGAGGGAUUUUCACCCCCCCGGGGAAAUGGCCCCGGUCCCGCUUCCUUGCGGGGGCCCACAGGGGGAAUUUUCCCAAAGGGAGGAAAUCUUGGAACCAACCACCGCGGGGGGGAGGAUGACCCAUUUCGGGGGGAAAACUCCUUUUUAUAGGGGGAGAUAAGGCGGGUUCCCAUAAGAAAUAAGCACCGGGUUAAUUCCGGGCCCAACAGCCGCGGUAAUACGGAGGGUGCAAGCGUUACUCGGAAUCACUGGGCGUAAAGCGCGCGCAGGCGGCCUGAUAAGUUGGAUGUGAAAGCCUACGGCUCAACCGUAGAACUGCAUCCAAAACCUGUCAGGCUAGAGUGUGGGAGAGGAAGAUGGAAUUAGUUGUGUAGGGGUAAAAUCCGUAGAGAUAACUAGGAAUACCAAAAGCGAAGGCAAUCUUCUGGAACACUACUGACGCUGAGGCGCGAAAGCGUGGGGAGCAAACGGGAUUAGAUACCCCGGUAGUCCACGCAGUAAACGAUGAAUGUUAGUCGUCGGGUAGCUAGUCUAUUCGGUGAUGCAGCUAAUGCAUUAAACAUUCCGCCUGGGGAGUACGGUCGCAAGAUUAAAACUCAAAGGAAUAGACGGGGACCCGCACAAGUGGUGGAGCAUGUGGUUUAAUUCGAAGAUACGCGAAGAACCUUACCUAGCCUUGACAUAUAUUAGAAUCUUUCAGAGAUGAGAGAGUGCCUUCGGGAGCUUUUAUACAGGUGCUGCACGGCUGUCGUCAGCUCGUGUCGUGAGAUGUUGGGUUAAGUCCCGCAACGAGCGCAACCCUCGUCACUAGUUACUAACGGUUCGGCCGAGGACUCUAGUGAGACUGCCUUCGCAAGGAGGAGGAAGGUGAGGACGACGUCAAGUCAUCAUGGCCCUUACGGCUAGGGCAACACACGUGCUACAAUGGUUGGGACAAUGAGGCGCGAUACCGCGAGGUGGAGCAAAUCUAUAAACCCAAUCUCAGUUCGGAUUGUUCUCUGCAACUCGAGAGCAUGAAGCUGGAAUCACUAGUAACCGUAGAUCAGCUAUGCUACGGUGAAUACGUUCCCGGGUCUUGUACUCACCGCCCGUCACACCAUGGGAGUUGAUUUCACCCGAAGCGGGGAAGCUAAACUGGCUACCCUCCACGGUGGAAUUAGCGACUGGGGUGAAGUCGUAACAAGGUACC